CUAGUACUACCCAAUCAGAAUAAAGCAAAAGACGGAUUGGUAUUAGGCGAGGCGGUAGGAAAGAAUAAUCGGUAGAUAAUCAUUCCAAGUUUUUGUACUAUAUAAUUCAGAAGCACCGUCUUCCACUGAAAAACAUUACCAGUCACAUUAAACCAACAGUUAACCAAGAUGACAUGAUAUAAUUCAUCCAACAGUGAGGAGGCACGACCACUUCAGAGUUGGUUUGUGGUGAGGGAUAUUGGAUCAUAGGUACUGUGUCAAGCUUUGUGAAAAUCAACAUUUAAUUAGUAAAUUACUGCAGUGCUAAUGUGAGAAGUAAAGCACAGCGGAAAGAUGGAGAAAUCGGGUAAGAUAUAAUAUUUUGUUGACAUUUUAUUGUGCUUUCUAACAUGUAGCCAUCUUA
Anneissia japonica is the source of this 403-nucleotide long non-coding RNA. RefSeq lists it as uncharacterized. Lineage: Eukaryota; Metazoa; Echinodermata; Crinoidea; Comatulida; Comatulidae. The transcript is spliced from 3 exons. The record is from RefSeq and is a predicted model, not a curated record.